This 1248-nucleotide long non-coding RNA is filed under the name Suricata suricatta (meerkat). RNAcentral describes it as "lncRNA (ENSSSUG00005016182.1)". Lineage: Eukaryota; Metazoa; Chordata; Mammalia; Carnivora; Herpestidae. The record is from RNAcentral.
CUCAGGGCAGACACCCCUGCCUGGGGACUGUCAGACAAGGGUCCUACUUUAGUUCACCAUCUGUCUUUGCUUCCUCAUCCGCAGGGAAAGAGCCCUCCGCUUCCUGCAUCGCUCACAACCCUACUCUGUGCUCACGGGACCGCCGCCAAUACCAGUGUGGACAGAGCAGGGAAGGGGCUUCUUGAGAGAGCCCACCGCCUAGGGCAGGCAGCACCCCCUGCCCUCAGCCGGGGCCAACCCCACCCUGGCUUAGGAAGGCCCAGCAGGGACCUGGACAGCCAUAUCUCACCACGACAGUCAGCGGCGGAGCAGCUGAACGCUCCAUCUUGGCAGAUACUGGGAAGACAGAAGCACGUGUUCAGAUGCCUCCCGUGUCCUCCUCCCCACCCUUAUUCUCAGCAAGGCUGCCCUCCACCCCCUCCCUGCCCCAGCCCCCCUCCAGGCCCCCCUGCCCAGCCCUUACCAGCGCGUGCAGUUCCUGAUGAGCUCAGUUCCUGGGGGCAGCUCCCGGGCCUGCUCUUCAAGGGUCAAGGUCAGGCCCCAGGGCAGAGAGAUCUGGGUGCAGGGGCACGCCACAGGGGGCACACACGUGCCAUUGUGCAGCAGCUGCGACAGGGCAGUGCAGGCUCGGUUACACUCAUACCACCCGUUCUCUGCCUCCCAACUGCCCCCCGCCUCGGCAGUCAGUGCACUGCACGUACCUGCCCCUCGGGGCAGCCACAGCCAGGCCGGCAGGGCUCCUGCGCACAGAGGGCAUCAGGCUGCAGAUGCGAGCAGAGGCGUGGGCACGAAGUGGCACAGGCACGGAGCACCUGGCCAGGCGGGCACUCUGGGGGGAAGCGCACCAAUGGUGAGAUGAGGUCCCAGGGAGAGGACGGCCUUGGCCCCUCCACCCGCCCUGCCGGACGCCAGCUGAGCUCAGCAGCAGCACUGGAGGGAAGGGAGAUACCCCCCACCCCCCACCCCAGGUGCUCACCAGGGCAGGGCUGGGGGUUACAUUCCUGCUGCUCUGUGUCCUGGGCCUGGCAUGGCACCCCCACAGGACCCUCCUCACAGCUCCGAUGUCGCUCCCUGAAGCCCCCACCGCAGGGAGCGGAGCAGCUGCUCCAGGCGGACCAAGGCCCAAGGACUGGGCACUCAUGGUGUGGGCACACCAGGGAUCCGUUGGUACAGGUACUGGGGACAGGGAUCAAGGGCACAAGUCAAGGUGAACAGAAACUUUGCCUGCCGGUAAUGCCCACACCCUGA